UGGGGAAUAUUGCACAAUGGGGGAAACCCUGAUGCAGCGACGCCGCGUGAGCGAUGAAGGAUUUCGAGUCGUAAAGCUCUGUCCUAUGGGAAGAUAAUGACGGUACCAUAGAAGAAAGCCCCGGCUAAUUACGUGCCAGCAGCCGCGGUAAUACGUAUGGGGCGAGCGUUGUCCGGAAUUAUUGGGCGUAAAGGGUACGUAGGCGGACUAUUAAGUCAGGUGUGAAAGCGUGAGGCUUAACCUCAUUAAGCACUUGAAACUGAUAGACGUGGUUGAAGGAGAGGAAUGUGGAAUUCCUAGGGUAGCGGUGAAAUACGUAGAUAUUAGGAGGAAUACCGGUGGCGAAGGCGACUUUCUGGACUUUUACUGACGCUCCGGUACGAAAGCGUGGGGAGCAAACAGG
Molecule: ribosomal RNA, 403 nt
Filed under: Verrucomicrobiota bacterium
Lineage: Bacteria; Pseudomonadati; Verrucomicrobiota
Description: Verrucomicrobia bacterium partial 16S ribosomal RNA
Rfam family: Bacterial small subunit ribosomal RNA
Source: RNAcentral